This is a long non-coding RNA of Benincasa hispida (wax gourd), 2363 nucleotides long. RefSeq lists it as uncharacterized. Lineage: Eukaryota; Viridiplantae; Streptophyta; Magnoliopsida; Cucurbitales; Cucurbitaceae. The record is from RefSeq and is a predicted model, not a curated record.
UUUUUCAAGUCCCAUUCAGCCAUCGACUCCCGAAACAUACCAAACACCGAACACUAAAUUGAUCUCAUUCUCACCAUCACCGUUUCACAAUCCAUUGAUCGGCGACCAAAGCUUCGCGAUUUACGGUCCAUUGACCAACGAUUGCCUAGCCCUCCGACCAAGCGUCUUUCCUUCUGUCCUCAAACUCAAGGCUUCAUAGGAUUUGUCAUCAGUCCUCACCAAUCGAUCUCAUUCCCUUUAUCCUCAUCCCGCAGCUUCUAGUUAUUUGAAGUAGAAAGAAUGAAGGACUAUGACUUGGGGGAUAUGAUUUAAAAAUGAGAGGAUGAAAGGUUUCUUUUGGAUGGGGGAAUAAACAAGAAUUAUAUUCUCUAAUAUUAUCCGAUGGACAAAUCAUGGAUGACGAAGAAUAAAUUAUCUAUAGAAUAUGAGUUGAGUUGAAACAUUCAUUGAAUUUGAGUUGCAUCAUGGUAAUGGUUCCAAUUUGAUUCAAUGUCCAUGUUUAAAAUGUGAGAAUUGUAUAUCUAAGGAUGUUUCAAUAGUUAGGGAUCGCUUGCAUGUCAAUGGAAUGGAACAAAGUUAUAAGAUAUAAUUUUGGCAUGGGAAAGAUUUGACCACAGAGAAAGUUAACAAUAAUUCGGAGCAUGAGUUAAAUGAGAAUUAUGAAGAUAAUGACGAUUUAUAUAAUGUAAUUGACAUGGUUCAAACUGCUCAAGAUCAAUUUUCAAAUGCACCCAAUAUGUUUGACACUACGUUCGACGAUGCUAAGAAGCUAUUAUACCUGAAAUGUAAAAAAUUCAAAAAGUUGUCAGCCCUCGUGAGAUUGUACAACUUAAAGGUAAGUUAGAUUUGGAUGGAGUGAUUGAAGUUUUUCGGAACUUUUAUCUACAAUAAUUGAAAUCCUACUUGAGAAGAAUGAACUGCCAAUCUCUAUGUAUGAAGCGAAGAAAACACUAAAUGCCCUAGGUUUGAAUUACCAAAAAAUAGAUGCAUGUCCAAAUGAUUAUUGCUUAUAUAGAAUUGAGCUUGAAAAAGUAACCAAAUGUCCUACUUGUAAUUUAUUGAGAUGGAAGGUAGUCAAGAACUUAAUAGUAGAGAAGAAAGGAGUGGCUGCUAAUGUUAAGUCGUUGUGGUACUUUCCAAUAGUUCCAAAAUUUAUAAGGAUGUUCAAAAGCGUUGAAUAUGCAAAGAAUUUGUGUUGGCAUGCAACUAAUAGGAAAGUUGAUGAUAUUAUGUGAACCCAACUGAUUCUCCAUCUUGAAGGUUAAUAGAUUACUUGUGGCCAACAUUUGGUUCAGAACCAAGAAAUCUUUGUUUGGGUUUAUCUAUUGAUGGAGUCAACCCAUAUGAGGAUUUGAGUACUAAAUAGAGUUGUUAGCCAGUGAUUACUAUAGUGUACAACCUCCUACAAAGGUUGUGCAUGAGGAGAAAGUUUUUAAUGUUAUCAAUGUUGAUAUCAAAACCAAAACAAUCAGGAUAUGAUAUUAAUAUUUAUCUAGCUUCGUUGGUUGAUGACUUGAAACUUUUAAGGGAAGUUGGAAUUGAAUGUAUUGAUGCGUAUUGGGAGGAAUCAUUCACUUUGCGAGUUGUCUUAUUGUGGACUGAUAGCUUCUAGCAAUACAAGCUAUUGCAACCUUUUACUUAGAAUUAUAAGGGUUGAUGAGCAGAACAUGCGUUGAUAUUGCUAAGAGUUCAUGUGAAAUAAUGAAAUUGCGUUGAUCUGCUCUAAAAAUCCCCGUUAACCCUAUAUCAUGCGUUAUCUUGCAUAAAAUGUCUAUUUUGUAGUUGUCACAGGAAUCGAUCACAUGCAUUGAUCCCAAACCAUCGCAAAGUUGAUCGCACACAUUGAUAUUAAUGAAAAAAAGUUGAUCGUAUGCACUGUCGCAACUACAGAAUGAUAGCCAUGAUAGAAGGAUGAUCGCAAAGAUUGAGUGGAAUACAUUGAUCCUUCAGAAGAAACGAUCAUGAACACAUACCUUGGGAGUUAUCAAAGAGAUAAGAUCAUGAUGACAUUCUCACCUACUGCGUCAGUAAUGGUAGUGAUUCAGAGCAGGAUUAUCAAAGUUGUCGGCAUUUGGCUCUAUAAAUAGAGCAUUAGAGACCAAGUUCAAGAAAUCUGGGACUUCUGCCUUGGACAAAUUCCUUUGAUCACAGACGAGAGCAUGAGCAGAAAUUCUUUGAGAGUUCUUCAUUUACACAACUUCCCCCGAUUGAUGACCAGAACGUCGUCGGAGAUAGAUCUCGAGAGAGACUACUCCACCGCUCAUCUAUUGCACCACCGAUAGCCUUGACACACAUCUGAUAGAAGCAAGAGAUUGCCUACAUCUAGCUUUCCACCUCUCUUCUCACCUUUGUAUGGUAUUACA